UCACUUUCAUUUUUCCUAUUCCUUCACAAAUUGUCUUCAUUGUUCCCUAUACUGCGAUUUUUGCUGCUAGAGUUUGGGUUCUGUCCUUCCAUUUCUCCAUCACCUGCUUUGCUGGAAGGUUUCUUAAACCAUCAUUUAACCAUAUCUUUUCGUCAUUCUUCUUUCCUUUUUCCUUUCUUUUCUCUUAUCUCGGAAGAACCGUUCAUUCAAUUUGACUCAAGUUUAGCCAGCAUUGUCUCUCGAUGUAUGCAAAUCUGCAAGAGGCGCAGUUUCAUAUUGUUGUAAGGAUUUUUUUGUGCUCAAUUCAUCCUUCAUCAUCGUUAGUCAUUUACUACUGACUCUCAAAGAAAGUACCCAGAUUUGCUUAUGGCUAUUCCAGAAAUUCAUGUGCCUUUUUUUCUUCUGUUAAUUCAAUCUGCACAUGCAUAUGAAGAAGAUGGGCAAGAGACAAAGUAAGUCUCCAUCUUCAACAACUAUUUUCGUUUGGCCUUGAAUUUCUGGACUCAUUUCAAAUUUUUUGUUCCCGUUAGUGUGUGGAAUGCUGAAUUUUUCUUAGUGUUUCUAUGUUCUUUCUUCGUUUUUAUCUGUUUUUUUGGAAUAUUGCUUUUACAAUCUUCAUCUACCUUUGAAUUUCUCUUAGCAUUGUUUUCUUUAAUUUUUUUAAUAUCGUGUAUAAUUUUUAAUAUGUAAUUUAUACUUAUCUGGUCUUCUCUUCCUUUCACGUGUUCUUAGUGAUUUUUGACAUGCAUGUGGUUAGUUCAAACUCUUCUAUGUACACAGAAUUUACCAUCAGGAGCAAAAAUAGUACAACUAAAAGGGAAGAACUUUGAUGCAACAAAGAUAUUUGACAAUAUGCCAAAAAGCACUGAAUAAUAUUUUCUUAUUCCGUUCCUUUUUCCAUAAGGUAUUCUAUAACUUAAAGACCUAAAAUCAAUAACCCAAGCAUACAUUACUUCGUUCCUCUAGACAGAAUUAUUCACAAUGUACUAUGUGUUGUGAAUAAUUUAUUUGUUUACCCGAAAAAUCAGAUAACGUUAAAUUUGUGUAUGGUUCUAAGGAUAUGUGAUACAAUUUGAUACAAAUCGUAUAGAGAAAUAGAAAUAUGUGUAUUCUUGACUAUGAGAAUGGGAAUAGUGAGCGAAAGAAUCAAUAAGGUAAAAUAAAACAAGCAUGAGGAGAUAUCUUCCNNNNNNNNNNNNNNNNNNNNNNNNNNNNNNNNNNNNNNNNNNNNNNNNNNNNNNNNNNNNNNNNNNNNNNNNNNNNNNNNNNNNNNNNNNNNNNNNNNNNNNNNNNNNNNNNNNNNNNNNNNNNNNNNNNNNNNNNNNNNNNNNNNNNNNNNNNNNNNNNNNNNNNNNNNNNNNNNNNNNNNNNNNNNCCUCGAUUCCCGCCAAGAUUCUCUCUCUUAGUGCGGUUGUAACGGCUCUUAUCCGUGAGCUCGAUACUGGCUCGAACUCGUUAUUGGGUCGAGCCUUCGAUUUUGGCUUGAGUUCGACCUCCGGGGUGGGCGUAGCGCAUUUCUGACCUCGAAGCAAUGUCUUGCGGAUCGAUUUGGUCACGGGCUCGAUAAAAGUAUCGAGCCGAUUCCUCGAUCAGCCUCUGGACUCGAGGCACAUUUGUACUGCCUUCGGAACUCAUCCCACAAUCCCACUCCGGUUACUUACCAUUUGAACUCGAUCGAACGUAGGAAAGCCGAAAUCUAUUUCGACCGUAUACAUAUAGUCAUCUUAUUUCUCAGGAAGGAUGUGGUGAGAAUCGAUAUGAUCUUCUACGGUUCAAUUGGGUUAUAAGCUGACGUUUUCACAAGGCUCGAUCAUGACGUAUGUGAUAGCUGUCCCAUCGAUUUAGUUUUUCAAGGUAUUUAAUGCAUGUCAGACGGUGGUCGGCCACCUCUGGUAUUGAACCGUCACGAUGCAAGCCUUUAAAUAACCCCUCCAUCUAACGUUUACCACUUUUACGUCUUUCACUCUUCCAAAUUUUCUUCCCUAUUCUCUCUAUUUCGCUGCUUGCAGAGCCAUCUACAUCAACUUUUCAUCUUCCUUUGCCUUUCUUUCUCUCAUAUCAAUGGCCAAAACUUCGAAAAUUGUACCUCAGAAGGAGAAAGCUUCUUCUUCACGGCCGUCCGGCGACAAGGCGCCGGUGGAGCCGCCUACCUAUGAGUAUGUUCCCGGCCCGUGUACUUUGAAGAUCGAUUUUAAGGUUGAGAAUCCUUCAUCUGUUCAGGGUCGAUGUGAGCAUGUGUCGAUGUACAUAUGCUUGAUAACGGAGGGUCAUCUCGAGGCUGUGAGGAAAGACUGCAACUGGGGUUCCGAGGUUGUGUUGCAAAUUCCCUCCCCCGAAGAGAGCGUCAUCACCCAUGUGGAGGGGUUUUUAAGUGUUUACACUUACCCCUUUACGUUGGGUCCCGUCGACCCGGUGAUCAUCGACUUUUGCAAAAGAUAUCAGGUCACCCUUGGUCAAAUUCAUCCCUCUCUAUGGCGUAUAGUAACCUUACUUCGCUUCUUCUCCAACAAGGCCGGGGGGCUGGAAUUUUCCCUGAAUCACCUCAUACGACUGUAUCGGCCUCAAAUCUUCCGAAGACUAAUCGGGCUUCAUCGUCGAGCAUCGAAGGCUUUGAUGUCGAGCAUCGACGAAGACAAAGAUCGGGGUUGGAUGAGCAGUUAUAUCCGGGUGAGGACCCGUGACCUCAUUCCGGAAGAGAAGAUGUCGUUCCCCGAGGAAUGGAAUUUCGACCGUAAGUGGUUUUCAUAAGACGUUGCAUUUCAUAUCUUUUUUCGAUUUUAUCUGAUGUCUUUCUCCGAUAUACAGCUGCCCCUUGGAUGCCACAAGCGGUACCCGACCUCGAGGAUUGGGUUCGGAAGUUAGCCUCGACUUCUUCUUAUGUCGAACGUGCUUGUUGUGAUUUGGCAAAAGGUAGAUGGGAGGCCAAGAAUCAUGGUAAGGGUUACUUCUCGUGUUCUUCGAAAUAUUUUUUAUGCUCUAUUCGUCACUGAUUUCCUUUCAUGCAGGUGUAACCAAGGAUGCCGUUUUGAGGCCUUUGAGUGGUGAAGAAGAAACCAAGUCCUCGGUCCUGGAACCGGGGAAAGAUAAGAAGCGAAAAGCUGUCUCUCGGUUAGAGGACCCCAAGCCCAAAACUCGAAGGGUGAGGAGGAAGGCAAUCGCUCUUUCAAUGGACUCGGUCCAACGAAGAAGAUGAUGCCUCGGCUUUGGUGAUCCGAUCUGCGAAAGCUAUCGAGAUCGCCAGAGCUUCUGAGCCGAUGGCGGCUGUACGGCUGGUUCCGGUACCCCGAGUCUCGAUCAGAGCAUCCUGAGCGAUUCGCUUGGGACCAUGACAGUGGGUCAUUUGCCUUCUCUUCCAACCUUUUCUGAGGAGGCGUUAAAGGAGGCUCGAGAGUUGAAGACUCCCGAUAUGGGCGGAGGCUCUAGUAUAGGGGACCCUUUUCGGGAUUGCUUUACUGGAGUCGAUGAUGCCUCCGACAUUGGUGAUGUUUCUCUUCUUCUAGAAGAGGCCCAACGUUUUAUUUCUCGGGUAAUGAUUUUACUGUACUUGGUUUCUUCGUUCUUUUCCAAACUUGACUUGUGUUCUUUCCCUACUGUGCAGGCCAUUAGUAAGUUUCGAGUCGACCUCAGCCAGUGCGAGGUCGAGCUUCAGAAGGUCUCGGGGGAGAGAGAUGCCCUGCGGCUUCUUUGCAGCCAAAAGGACGAGGCUAUAAAGGACCUCUAAGCAGAUUUAGCUAAGGCUCGUGAAGAAGAGGCCGAACUAGAUAAGCAGGUAAGCCUCGUUCUGUUAGAGUAUGGGUUUGACUCAACUGUGGAAGUUAACCCUUCGUUAUCUCGGCUGCAGCAAAAGGUUGAAAAGAUUGGGUUACUUCGGGAGGAAGUCGAUCAAAUCAAGUCCAUUGAAGCUAAGGCGGAGGUUGAGUCUUCGAAAGUCAUGGCGGACAAGUCCAUUGCCGUGUAUCGGGCUGAUGCCGAGGCUGCUCAGAUGGAGGCACGAGAGGCGACGGAUACUGCUGAUACUCGAGCAUAUUGGGUUGCCGAACUUGCUAAGUGUCGGUCUCAGAGGGAGACCCUCGAGGAGAUACACGCUCGAGGUUUCGACCUUGCUGAAGAGAUAAAAAAGGCUAAAGAGCUCGAAGCUGAAGCUGAAGCCUUGGCUUCUGAUGGCGAUGAUGGUAGCAAGAGAGGAUCCGAGAAUGGGGGGAGCCCGAUAGAGAAGAAACCGCUCCUGAGGAUGACCAGGAAGCUUAGUCCUUAGUUCUUACGUUUGUAAUCAUGUAGACGAUUGUGUACAUAGACAACUUUGCCGUCUUGCUUCUGUUUUGUGAAGACUUUAUACAUGCCUUAUAAAUGUUUUCACAAAGAUUUAAUCAACUUAAUCAAAUUCUGGAUUUCGUAGCCUCUAUAAUCGAGCGAGUGCUUAUUCAUAUUUGAAGUGAUGUAGCCCCUAGGCUUAUAAGUCGAGUCAAUGAUUCGAACUUAAAAGUAGCCCGUAGGCUUAAUAGUCGAGUGAAUGAUUCGAACUCGAAGUAAUAUAGCCCGUAGGCGUAAUGGUCAAGUGGGUGCUUGCUCGGACUCGAAAUAAAGUAGCCCGUGGGCUUUUAGUAGUCGAGUGCGUGAUUCGACUCGGGAUUAAGUGGCCCGUAGGCGUAAUGGUCGAGUGAGUGCUUGCUCGGACUCGAAAUAAAAGUAGCCUGUAGGCUUAAUAAUCGAGUGAAUGAUUCGAACUCGAAGUAAUGUAGCCCGUAGGCAUAAUGGUCGACUGAGUGCUUCCUCGGACUCGAAAUAAAGUAGCCCGUGGGCUUAGUAGUCGAGGAAUUUUUCUUGGAUAUAAGAUGUCGGUAAAGAGGAGAACUUUCUUUGCAAGUCACUAUACUUGUGUUCGUGUUUCGCGCCUGGGUUCGAGCCAACUACAUGAGCAUGGUUCGUUUUAACCAUUUGGCUCUUACAACUUUUCCUAUUGGAAGCCCGUUGUUUGAGAAAUAACUUUCUUGCUUCAAAACUUGAUAUAUUUGAAGGCUAAUGCCCAGUAUUCGAGGUCGAUUGUAAAGAGGCCUCGGACGCUGUUGUAAGUGCAGCACGAUCUUUGGUUGCCUCGUUAAAAAGCUUGCCGAAAAACCCAUUUGGGAUAAAACCGGUCUAAGGGAAAAAGAGUGCAACGCGUGCUUUCAGAUCUAUGGUAAAGGAUCCAUUUUAGCUCCUGCUCGGACUUCUGCAGGGGUCAGUUUUGAAAUGUAAACGAAUAUGAAAGGGGCGUACCUUAGCAGUCGUAUCAUUUUAGAUGUGACACAUUCCAAUUGCUUGAUAGCUGUUUGCCGUUUAUAAUGUCGAGCCUCUAUGAUCCCUUUUCGACGUUCUCGAGAACCUGGUAUAGUCCUUUCCAAUUUGGUCCUAGUUUUCCUUCGUUCGGAUUUCGGGUAUUGAUGGUGACUUUCCUUAGUACUAAGUCCCUGGGCUUGAAAUGGCGGAGCUUGGUUCUUCGAUUAUAAUAUCUUUCGAUUCACUGCUUUUGGGCGGCCAAUUGGACGAGAGCAGCUUCUCUUCUUUGGUCUGAUAAUUCGAGGGUAGUGUUCAUAGCCUCGUUAUUUGAUUCUUCCGUCGUGUAUCAAAAUCUGGUACUGGGUUCGCCGACUUCGACUGGUAUCAAUGCUUCAGACCCAUAUACUAAGGAGAAUGGGGUCGCCCCCGUACUGGAUUUCGACGUCGUUCGAUAUGCCCAAAGGACUUCGGGUAGGAUUUUUCUCCACUUUCCUGUAGCGUCGUUCAUCCUCUUCUUUACAUUCUGAAUGAUGGUUUUGUUCGUUGAAUCGACCUGUCUGUUCCCACUGGGGUGAUAUGGUGUUGAUAAUAUCCUUCUUAUUCUGUGGUCUUCAAAGAAUUUCGUCACUUUGCUGCCCACAAAUUGUUUCCCAUUGUCACAUACUAUUUCGGCGGGUAUCCCCGAAAUCGGCAUAUGAUAUGAUCCCCAAAAUAAAAGUCUAAUAANNNNNNNNNNNNNNNNNNNNNNNNNNNNNNNNNNNNNNNNNNNNNNNNNNNNNNNNNNNNNNNNNNNNNNNNNNNNNNNNNNNNNNNNNNNNNNNNNNNNNNNNNNNNNNNNNNNNNNNNNNNNNNNNNNNNNNNNNNNNNNNNNNNNNNNNNNNNNNNNNNNNNNNNNNNNNNNNNNNNNNNNNNNNNNNNNNNNNNNNNNNNNNNNNNNNNNNNNNNNNNNNNNNNNNNNNNNNNNNNNNNNNNNNNNNNNNNNNNNNNNNNNNNNNNNNNNNNNNNNNNNNNNNNNNNNNNNNNNNNNNNNNNNNNNNNNNNNNNNNNNNNNNNNNNNNNNNNNNNNNNNNNNNNNNNNNNNNNNNNNNNNNNNNNNNNNNNNNNNNNNNNNNNNNNNNNNNNNNNNNNNNNNNNNNNNNNNNNNNNNNNAUCGGCACCGGAGUGAUUCCCACAAGUACCCUCGCGCACCUCGCGCAAGAUGUAGUCGGUGUCUCCCGGACCUAAGCAUACUGCCAAUGGUCCAUCGAAUGUCCUUCGGUAUAAUGUUCCAUCUGCAGCCAAUGUGAAUCGAGCAGCUUUGGUUCGUAGGGCCCUCGAAAUUUUAGGAUCUGACAGCAGCUUUUCGUUCUCCAAGUAUUCAAUGUACUUAUUCCUCCAAUCCCAAGUUAAGCUUGUAGAAUUUAUCUCAGCAUGACCUUCUUCGAUCACGGAUCUCGAGAGUUGAACGACAGUCCCCGAGCUCAAGUCACCUUCCUCGACCUAUGAUCCCAAAUUCGCAAGUGCAUCAGCCUCACUGUUUUGCUCUCGUGGAACGUGCUAUAAAGUCCAUUAUUUAAAAUGGUGCAAAGUGACAUGUAGUUUGUCCAAAUACCUUUGCAUUCUAUCCUCUCUAACUUCGAAGGUUUUGUUUACUUGACUUACCACCAACAGAGAGUCACAUUUGGCUUCGAUGACUUCUGCUCCCAAGUUUUUUGCUAGCUCGAGACCUGCAAUCAUGGCCUCAUACUCGGCCUUGUUGUUAGUCAACUUGGAAGUUUUAAUAAAUUGCCUAAUGGUGCUACCUGUGGGUGGCUUUAAAACUAUGCCCAACCCAGACCCUUUACGUUCGAGGCCCCGUCCGUAAAAAGGGUCCAUACCCUCGAGGACGUACCCGAUUUCAGCAGGAAUUCUUUUUCGACUUCGGGUAUGAGGGUUGGCGUGAAAUCGGCCACGAAGUCUGCUAAAAUUUGAGACUUGAUCGCCGUACGAGGUUGAUAUUCGAUAUCAUACCCACUGAGUUCGACAACCCAUUUGGCCAAUCGGCCCGAUAGUUUGGGCUUUUGCAAAACAUUACGAAGUGGGUAAGUUGUUUAUACGCAUAUGGGGUGACAUUGAAAGUAUGGUCGUAACUUUCUAGAGGCGCUUAUCAGUGCAAGUGCCAAUUUUUCUAGGUGUGGAUAUCUAGCUUCUGCUUCUCCUAAGGUUCGACUUAUAUAAUAAAUGAGAAAUUGCGUACCUUGCUCUUCCCGAACUAGGACACCACUUACAACGAUUUCUGAUACUGCCAAGUAUAAGCAAAGUUUUUUGUCUGCUUUCGGAGUGUGAAGUAGUGGUGGGCUCGACGGAUAUUGUUUCAGUUCCUUCAAUUCCUAUUGGCAUUCUGGGGUCCAAGCGAAAUCGUUCUUCUUUUUGAGUAGGGAGAAAAAAUUGUGACUUCGAUCUGAUGAUCUCGAAAUGAAUCGGCCUAGGGCCGCAAUUCAUCCCGUUAGCCUUUGUACAACUUUUACGAUGUCCACGAUGGUGAUGUCUUCGAUGGCCUUGAUUUUAUCGGGGUUAAUCUCGAUUCCCCGAUUUGACACCAUGAAGCCGAGGAACUUGCCCGAACCGACCCCGAAAGCACAUUUUUCAGGGUUGAGCUUCAUGUUGUAUUUCCUCAAAAUCUCGAACGUUUCCUGCAAAUGGGUCAGAUGGUCCUCUGCGCGCAGUGACUUAACUAGCAUGUCAUCAAUAUAAACUUCCAUUGAUUUACCUAUUUGUUCUUCGAACAUUUUAUUUACUAGGCGUUGGUAAGUAGCCCCCGCAUUUUUUAGCCCGAAGGGCAUCACAUUAUAACAAUAUGUUUCAUAUUUGGUGACAAAUAAAGUCUUUUCCUGGUCCUCCGGGUUCAUCCGGAUUUGAUUAUACCCAGAAUAGGCAUCGAGAAAAGUGAGGAUCUCGUGACCGGCCAUGGCAUCGAUCAUGCGAUCGAUGUUGGGUAGUGAAAAAGAAUCUUUGGGGGAUGCUUUAUUUAAAUCCUUAUAGUCCACGCACAUUCUAAGUUUGUUUCCUUUUUUAGGCACUACAACUAUAUUGGCCAACCAUUCGGGAUAUUUCACCUCCCGAAUGGACCCUAUCUUGAGAAGUUUGGUUACCUCGUCUUUUACGAAUGCGUGUUUUACCUCGGACUGGGUCUUCUCUUUUGCUUUACCGGUCUGAACUUAGGGUCCAAGCUUAGCCGAUGCGUCAUUAUGUCCGGUGGAAUCUCUGUUAUAUCUAAAUGGGACCAGGCAAAACAAAUCAAUGUUAUCGAUAAGAAAUUGAACAAGUUUCUUCCUAAGUUCGGGGCUCAACCCCGUUCCCAGGUAUACCUUUCGUUCGGGCCAGUGCUCGAUUAGUGUGACUUGCUCCAAUUCCUCAAUUGUUGAUUUGGUGGCGUCGGAGUCAUCGGGAAUCACGAAUGAUCGAGGGACCCUCUGAUCAUCAUGUUCUUCGAUCAUCUGGUUAUCUGGUUGGGUCGAAGCCGAUAUCUGUGAUUGCUAUUUGGUGUCUCCUUCUGAGGCCGAUCCUUUUACUGAUGAAGGCGAGGAUAUUGGUUUGGCUUCCUCGACGACGAACAUUUCUUUUGCGGCUGGUUGUUCUCCGUACACUGUUUUGACUCCUCUCGAUGUUGGGAAUUUGAGGACCUGGUGUAGGGUCGAAGGUGCAGCUCUCAUGUUGUGGAUCCAUGGCCUUCCGAAAAGGGCGUUGUACCUCAUGUCGCCUUCGAUCACGUGAAACUUCAUUUCCUGGAUGGUUCCGGCCACGUUUAUUGGUAGAAUUAUCUCACUUUUGGUGGUUUUACAUGCCAUAUUGAAUCCGUUUAGAACCAGGGCUGCGAGUACGAUCUGAUCCCGCAGGCCGAGCUGCUCUACGACCUUCAAUCUGAUGAUGUUGGCCGAGCUACCUGGAUCAAUCAACACACGCUUAACUUUAGUUUUAUUCAUGAGUACAGAUAUUACCAGUGCAUCGUUAUGAGGUUGUACGACCCCUUCUGCAUCUUCAUCAUUUAAGGACAAAGUUCCUAUGGGUGUGUAAUCCUGAGUUCGAGAUCGCUUUUCUUUCACAAUUGAUGUUUUAGUGCAUUUAAGCACUGGUCCCUGAGGGGUAUCAGCACCGCCGAUGAUCAUGUGAAUGACGUGCUGCGACUUUUCCUGCUCGUUUUGCUUGUCGAAAUCCUUGUUUUUUUAAAAUGGUUCCUCGCCCUAUCGCUCAAAAAUUCCCGAAGGUGGCCUUUGUUAAAUAAUCGGGCUACCUUCCUCUCUUAGUUGCCUGCAAUCUUCUGUUCUGUGGCCAUGGGUGCCAUGAUAUUCGCACAUUUGAUUGGGAUUCCUUUAGGCAGGAUCGGACUGCAUUGGUCGAGGCCAUCUAGUGUCUUUGAUGCAUCCGAUAGUAGACACGAUGGCGGAUGCAUCAACGCUGAAGUUAUAUUCCGACAACCGGGGUGCUUCUCUAGGAUCGGCAUAUUUAUCAAAGCCGCUCUUGCUCAUAAGUCCCCGAGAAUUUUGCCCUCGAUCAAUUGUUCGAUUGUUCCGAGCGGUGUUGCGUGUCGAACCGUUGUUCAUCCGAUCUGCGACGUACGGUUGAUAUUGGUCUCUGUUCGACCUUUGUUCUCUGUCGAUCUCCCUUUGGUUUUUAGAAGUUGUCCUGUUCUGAUGCAUGGAUCCAGACGGAGCUCCCAACUGGUCAUCUUCGACCCUAAUUUUUGACUGAUAUCGGUUGUGUAUAUCUGCCCAAGUUAUUGCUGGAUACUCGAUCAAAUUUUGCUUCAGCCGACGCGAUGCUAUCGAACUUUGCUCGUUCAACCCUUGGGUGAAAGCUUGGACGGCCCAAUCGUCUGUGACCGGUGGCAAUUCCAUGCGUUCCAUUUGAAAUCGGGAUACGAAUUCCCUCAGCAUUUCAUUACCCCUUUGCUUUACUUUGAAGAGGUCUGAUUUCCUUGUUGCAACCUUUAUGGCACCAGCAUGUGCCUUUAUGAACGAAUCUACUAACAUGGCAAAAGAAUCGAUGGAAUUUGGCGGCAGAUUGUGAUACCAAAUCAUCGCUCCCUUCGAGAGGGUCUCCCCGAACCUUUUCAAUAACACGGAUUCGAUCUCAUCGUCCUCCAAAUCGUUACCCUUGAUGGCACAUGUGUAAGAGGUGACGUGUUCGUUAGGAUCGGUCGUACCGUUAUAUUUGGGAAUUUUGGGUAUACGGAAUUUUUUGGGGAUUGGUUUUGGGGCCGCACUCGAGGGAAAAGGCUUUUGUAUGAUUUUUUUCGAAUCCAGCCCUUUUAUCAUUGGCGGAGCUCCCGGGAUCUGAUCGACCCUGGCAUUGUAUAUUUCCACUCUCUUGUCGUUGGCUUCGACUCGUUUUGUGAGUUCCUCGAGCAAUUUAGUAAUUUCAGGAGUGGUCCCCGAUUCUUGCUCGUUUGAUUUCACUAUGGCAGGCUCCGUUCUGGGGGUGAUUUCUCGAAGCGGAUUGAAAUCUGGCCUGCUUUAUAUAUGAGUUUGGCUCUGCAACUGAGCUAUCGCUACUUGUUGGGCUUGUAACAUCUCGAAGAUCAUGCGCAAGCUGACUCCGAUUUCUCCCACGUUAUGGGUGUCUCGAGCUACGGAUCGAGUAUCACCUUGAAUGCUUUUUUCCGGUUCAGAACGUUAGUUCGCCUCAAGAGCCACUUGCGAAUUGACAUCUAACGGUACUUCGGCUCGAAUUUCGGGUACUUCGAUUCGAGCCUCAGUGCCAUCGUCAAGUGGCCUUCCGGCCCCGGGUACCAAGUUGUUGGUUUCAUCUUGAAGGCCGGCUUCGUGGUCGAUAGGUAAAGCCAUUGCUGAUUCGAAGUUGUAAACGGGUGUAUACUGCAUAUUUAUAUCAAACAAUCACUGUUAUCCUUAGCCCCACGGUGGGCGCCAAACUGUUUACCCGAAAAAUCAGAUAACGUUAAAUUUGUGUAUGGUUCUAAGGAUAUGUGAUACAAAUUGUAUAGAGAAAUAGAAAUAUGUGUAUUCUUGACUAUGAGAAUGGGAAUAGUGAGCGAAAGAAUGAAUAAGGUAAAAUAAAAAAAGCAUGAGGAGAUAUCUUCCAAUAUGAGAAGUGAUCUUUUGUUACAGUCUAUUCUCUGUGUUCGUAUGCUUACAAGGAUUCCCCCUUUUAUAAUAGAGGGAUCCUACUUUAUUUACAAUAAAAUAAAGCAUAUAGUGGAGGACCCAUGAUGAAUUAUCUCUUCCUCGAUUCCCGCCAAGAUUCUCUCUCUUAGUGCGGUUGUAACGGCUUUUGUCUGUGAGCUCGACACCGGCGAACUCGUUAUUGGGUUGAGCCCUCGGUUUUGGCUUGAGUUCGACCUCCGGGGUAGGCGUAACGCAUUUCUGAUCUCGAAGCAAUGCCUUGCGGAUCGAUUUGGUCACGGGCUCGAUAAAAGUAUCGAGCCGAUUUCUCGAUCAGCCUCCGGACUCGAGGCACGUUUGUACUGCCUUCGGAACUCAUCCCAAAAUUCCACUCCGGUUGCUUACCAUUCGAACUCGAUCGAACGUAGGAAGACCGAAAUCUAUUUUGACCGUAUACAUUGUUCAAACUGAAGGAAAACGACAUUGCUUGAUGAUAUUUUUUUGAUAUUUAUAUGUCAAAAUAAUAUUAUACUUGAAUAUUUUAAAAUUCAUUUAUAUUCCUCCUUACUUAAGUUUAAAAUGUAAAGUUGGCUUUAACAUUGGAAAAACAAUUAUAUAAAUGAAUCACAAUUAUUUUUAUAGUUCAUCUACGUUACCCUUGCCUGUACAUCAUUGUUUCAAGACCCUUCCAUAGAUCCCAUAACAACAAGCUCAUUUAUCAUAGCUAAACAAAUCUGACGUCACACCAUUUCUGGAGGUGACACUUAUAUAACUACUCGACACAUUAUGUUGCAAAGUCAUGAUAAUUUGCAACCUCUCUCACGGGCCAUAAAAGAUAAUGGAUGUUGCACUGACAAUACUUAGUUUGGAAAGAAGACAUUGAGGUGAUUAGCAUCCUCAAAAUGAUAGUCAUCUAAUAAAUGGUAAAAGAGGGUCUCCAUCAAACAUGAUUUAUGGUUUUAGAGUAAGUUAAGACACAAUUACUGCUUGCCAAAUAUAUCAAUCUUGCGCAUUACGGCAUUAGUAAAAAAUGAUGGUAUGAGGUAAGGAGAGAGAACACUCAAGCGCCAUUAUGAUAUGUGAAUUGCUUAUAUUGAGGUUCUCAAAGACCAUUCUAACCCAAGAAGGAUGUGUUGUUGUUUCAUUGUAUGUUGGAAUAAUAGAAGUUCACCGUUUUCUUUCUAUAAGUGAUAAUUUUGGUAGCAAGAAUGAGCAUGAAUUAAGUGAAGAAAAUAGUUUGAGGGUAGGAGAAAAGAAAAUGAAGUCUAGCGUUACUUAUGUGGAUGGAUAAAAAACUGAAGAGUCAUCUGUUAAUUACUCAUAGCCUUUCUGAGAUUCCUGGUUCUUGUCGUCCUCUCGAUAAAAUUGUUUCCACCUUCCAUAUUUGUUUAAUUUUGAUUUUUAGAGCUUUGUAGGUGGCUUAGACUACUGUUGUACUAACAGAUACUAUAUGGUGCAGAGAUAUAAAGAUCUAUUUGAUUGACUAUCCAAACAACUUGCUAUGAAUGACAAGAAUUACGCGAUGUAGUUCAUCAGAACUUGUUGACUCUAAUAUGAUCAUAUAUAUUGAUAGCUAAUGCACUAAUCUUUUAACGUUUGACAUUUAUUCUCUGGCAUCUCUGCCUUAUUUAUUAACGGACAUAAUUGUCCAUAGCAUGUGCGACAAUAAUAUCAUUCUCUAUUUAGAAAAAGGUAGCAGAAGUUUGAAAGCAGUUGAAGCAUGGUUUGAAGAAUCCUGAGAUUUUGUAGAUUGGAGGUGAUAUAUGAGCUUUAAAUAGUUCUUGAGCUACUUUUUAACAUAAAAUUGUUAUAAGUAUUGGGCAUUUAAUGUUUGAGUAGCUAUACCAAGUGUACUACUUAAUCAAUUUCAAGAAAAGGCAAAAUAAGAUGAAUACCAGAGACCUAAGAAGUGUGAUGACAAUUUCGAUACAAAGUAGGAGUCAGUUAUUGUGUAAUUCAUUUCUUAAGGAAAAGAAACAGGAAAGUGUUUUUUUUUUUUGAAAUCUGAUGCUUUUUGCUUCUUAUCAUUUUCAUCUGAAGGCGUAGCAUGUCUUGAAUAUCUAUUUAGAAGCCUAGCUUUCAUUUCAAACUAAAGAAUGUGAAAAAUAAAUUGAUGUAAGACGUACACGAUGAUCUUGCCACAUUUAAUAUCUUCUGCUUUUUGUGUAUUAAUUUGAAAGAGAUGCAGAUUGAGAUAACAAAUGAGCUUUUAAUUCGUGAAAUGUUUCUUGAAGCUUCUCUGUUUGUGUUCCAAUUACAAUAUAAUCCCUAAUCGAGCUGUCUUUAGUUUUACAUUUGUUUUGUCUAAUCUUUAUAAUUAAAAGUUGCAUAUGAGAAGGCACCUUACUGCUACUAUCCCAGGAAAGCAUCAUCCCCUCCUCUUUUUGUUAGUUUCACAAACUUUAUUUCAUAUUCUCCAUUUUCCAAUUCUAAAUUUUUGACUACCCUGUUGUCUCCCUUAAGUAAAAAGGGGAGGGCAAUUGGGAUUGGUAGGUUACUUAUCUCCAAAGUUCAUUUUUCUUAAGUCGGGUAUUUGCCCAGAAGUCAAGUUGAUAUGUCUUAUCAUAGCUACUUGAUGGUUGAGAGGAUAGAAAUAUAAUAUACCUGUCCAGUAUGACGAGUUUGUAUUAUUGGGUCAUUAUUGGAUGUAUUUAACUAUUCAUUUUGAAGGGAAAUAUUUGUGCUAUGUUUUAUAUUCCAGCUGAUUAUGUGCAGUCGAGUCUAAUGGCUUUUGAUGAAGCAUCAUUUUUAAUUCACUAGAUUUAUUGUAAAUGUUGUAGAUAGUUUUUCGUUUGAAUUUUUUUGUUAUUUUAUGAGUAACUGGUUAUAUUAAGGUUUAUGCCACCUUUUAGGACCUUGUAAAUGAUCUUUCCUCUAUCUUUUACAACACAUAAUGUAUUGUACUUAUGGUGUUUACUUACCUUCUGAAGGUACUGCAAAACUUCUCCCACUCUGCUGCUUUGGAAUAGCAAAGCUCACUACCAAACUGGGGACUAAGCUGAAUAGCUGAUACUCAUGAUAAAUGAAUUAAGGCAUGCAUGUAAACAUGCCUUGAAGAUGCAAACAUUUCCUAUAUUUUAUGGGUAUUAGCACGAGAGAUAUACAAUGUAUUAAUGUCAUCUUUUAUGCUUAUUGAAUGACCUAUAUUAUGCACAUAGAACUAUUUUAGUUUGGUUAUCUUCUUUUAUGUCAAUUUGGAUCAGUUUUUAAUAUCAUGAUAUUGUAAUGCACUUAACGCUGAAAUAAUGAAGAUCUAUGUUAUUCAAAGGCUUACUUCUUUCCUUGAUUCUAA
This 14625-nucleotide long non-coding RNA is filed under the name Nicotiana tabacum (common tobacco). Its description in RNAcentral is "long non-coding RNA (NTAB_LNC013050)". Lineage: Eukaryota; Viridiplantae; Streptophyta; Magnoliopsida; Solanales; Solanaceae. The record is from RNAcentral.